RNAcentral lists this transfer RNA (64 nucleotides) under Thaparocleidus asoti. RNAcentral's name for it is "tRNA-Ala". The record is from RNAcentral. Lineage: Eukaryota; Metazoa; Platyhelminthes; Monogenea; Dactylogyridea; Ancylodiscoididae.
AACAAAAUAGCUUAAUAUAAAGUUUUUAUUUUGCGUAUAAAAGAUAGUUUAGAACUUUUUGUUA